UCAGCGGGUAUUCCUGCCUAAUCUAAAGUCAAGUUUAGAAGAUUAAGGGCUUUAUAGAUGCUAAAUCUGUAUAAGCUCUAGGAAGCGCGAAUAGUACUGCGCGAUUAGGAGGCCUAGUAGAACAACUGCUAAUAACUUUAAGGCAAGUCUACACGAUAGAUGCUAAAGAACAAGCGCCUAACACUAAGCAACGCUUAAAGGGGGUGUAUGUAACGCUUAAACAGGCAUGCCCUAUAGAAUACUAAGGGGCGCAAUGUGCGUUCAAAGAUUUAAUAAUUUACUAAAUUCUGUAAUUUACACUACUUAUCGCAUUUUGCUGCGUUCUUCAUCGAUGCCAGAACCA
Molecule: unclassified non-coding RNA, 343 nt
Filed under: uncultured fungus
Lineage: Eukaryota; Fungi
Description: partial contains 5.8S ribosomal RNA and internal transcribed spacer 2
Source: RNAcentral